Astatotilapia calliptera (eastern happy) is the source of this 1024-nucleotide long non-coding RNA. The record is from Ensembl. NCBI's taxonomy places the organism in Eukaryota, Metazoa, Chordata, Actinopteri, Cichliformes, Cichlidae.
GGAAAACGCUGCUAUGAACAUGCCAAAGCAGCAGGUGGCACUAGAUUCCUAACCGUGCAGAAAUGUUGGCCAAUCAGAAGUCUAGAAGCCUCGGUGGGAAAAAGUAAACAAAGCUGCGGCAUAGAAGCAGAACCGAGUCGUAUGUGUGGACGGACAGUAACUGUGUAUAUGUAAGCAUUUAAACACUGCAGAGAGUAGAAUUAACAGUAACAGUAUUGUAGAAAUUCAUUUCACCGAAACAAUAACGUGGCGCACAGUGUGACGCAUGCACCAGUUUAUUGUAUUUCCAGACUUGCUUUCGGCACAAUUUACAGUGCACGCUACUCUGUUUUUUGUCAGACUUGAAAUAGCCGAAAUACCUUCACACUACGGAACUUCUAUGGCUCUUCCGUUUGACAAUCUCUCCGGCAUUGGAACCAUCAUCUGUUUUCUCUUCGGUCACGCUCGGUUGAUUUUUCUAGUCGGCACACUCAUUUCCUCCAUUACCCGCUGGCUGCUUCCCAAACAAACACACGUGCGGCUUGGCACUUGUGCUGUACGUAACAAGUCACGCGACGUGACGCUGCGGCUGUGAUUGGUUCGGCUCUGCGCUACUUAGUUUGGAUUGGCUGACCUUUUUUUUUUUUUUUUUUAAGAGGACAAGAGCAGCGAGGUCUAUCGCGAUAGCUUAAUUUCUCUAUCGAGUAAAAGUUAUAUCGCGAUACAUAUCGUUAUCGUUCUAUCGCCCAGCUCUACAGCUAAUUAAUUAUCUUGAGUUGAUUCAACUGCUAUUAGCUUAAAGGUGGGAUACAGACUGACAAACAAUCAUUCACAAACACAGUCAACUUUGAAUCGCUAAUUAAGCUAACCCAUGCAUUUCUUUGGACAGUGGGAGGAAGUGACUGAGUCAGCUGCUUUCACAGCUGUUUGCAUUGUAAUAUCUGUUCUGAACUUAAAGUUUUUAGCUAAAAAAAUACCAUUGACAUUAUAAUAAAUAAAAAAAUUAAACUAAUGAAAACUAAAGUAAACAAAACAACAAAUUAAA